This 86-nucleotide small nucleolar RNA is filed under the name Rosellinia necatrix. RNAcentral describes it as "A. fumigatus snoRNA Afu_455". It matches the Rfam family "A. fumigatus snoRNA Afu_455". The record is from Rfam by way of RNAcentral. Lineage: Eukaryota; Fungi; Ascomycota; Sordariomycetes; Xylariales; Xylariaceae.
AGGGAUGAUGAAAAAUCCGACAAACCUAGGAAUUCCUCUUUCCGAAUACAUCAUGUCGAUUUGUUUAGUUUCAGCCUUGUCUGACC